AGUGAACGCUGGCGGUAGGCCUAACACAUGCAAGUCGAACGGCAGCACAGGAGAGCUUGCUCUCUGGGUGGCGAGUGGCGGACGGGUGAGGAAUACAUCGGAAUCUACCUUUUCGUGGGGGAUAACGUAGGGAAACUUACGCUAAUACCGCAUACGACCUUCGGGUGAAAGCAGGGGACCUUCGGGCCUUGCGCGGAUAGAUGAGCCGAUGUCGGAUUAGCUAGUUGGCGGGGUAAAGGCCCACCAAGGCGACGAUCCGUAGCUGGUCUGAGAGGAUGAUGAGCCACACUGGAACCGAGACACGGUCCAGACUCCUACGGGAGGCAGCAGUGGGGAAUAUUGGACAAUGGGCGCAAGCCUGAUCCAGCCAUACCGCGUGGGUGAAGAAGGCCUUCGGGUUGUAAAGCCCUUUUGUUGGGAAAGAAAAGCAGCCAGUUAAUACCUGGUUGUUCUGACGGUACCCAAAGAAUAAGCACCGGCUAACUUCGUGCCAGCAGCCGCGGUAA
This 506-nucleotide ribosomal RNA is filed under the name uncultured bacterium. RNAcentral describes it as "partial 16S ribosomal RNA". It matches the Rfam family "Bacterial small subunit ribosomal RNA", at positions 29 to 523 of the family's 1533-position model. The record is from RNAcentral.